UCUAGCUUAUCACUAGCGGUCCCACUAGAGUGCUCAGCCGAACUGGUGGCAACUAGUGGCAGGGGUUGCGCUCGUUUAAGGACUUAACCUUACAUCUCACGACACGAGCUGACGACAACCAUGCACCACCUGUGCUGUGGUUGUUAUAUUACUAUAACAAGGGCCGUACUUUCAUACAGCUUUCCGCAACAUGUCAAGCCCAGGUAAGGUUCUUCGUGUAGCAUCGAAUUAAACCACAUGCCUCGCUGCUUGUGCGGGCUCCCGUCAAUUCCUUUGAGUUUCAACCUUGCGGCCGUAGUCCCCAGGUGGAAUACUUAACGCGUUAGCUGCGGCGGUAAUGAGUAUGUACUCGCUACCACCAAGUAUUCAUCGUUUAGGGCUAGGACUAC
This 389-nucleotide unclassified non-coding RNA is filed under the name uncultured Caldisericota bacterium. RNAcentral describes it as "uncultured Caldiserica bacterium contains 16S-23S intergenic spacer region". The record is from RNAcentral. Lineage: Bacteria; Pseudomonadati; Caldisericota.